GACAGAGGAGGCAAGCGUUGUUCGGAAUCACUGGGCUUAAAGCGCGUGUAGGCGGCUUGGUAAGUGUCUUGUGAAAUCCCCCGGCUCAACCGGGGAACAGCUGGGCAUACUGCCAGGCUUGAGGCAGGUAGGGGUCACUGGAACUCUAGGUGGAGCGGUGAAAUGCGUAGAUAUCUAGAGGAACGCCCGGGGCGAAAGCGGGUGACUGGGCCUGUCCUGACGCUGAGACGCGAAAGCGUGGGGAGCAAACGGG
This 253-nucleotide ribosomal RNA is filed under the name uncultured bacterium. RNAcentral's name for it is "partial 16S ribosomal RNA". It matches the Rfam family "Bacterial small subunit ribosomal RNA", at positions 524 to 776 of the family's 1533-position model. The record is from RNAcentral.